GACCUAUUAGCUCAAUUGGUUAGAGUGUCGUAUUAAUAAUGCGAAGGUCAGGUUCAAAACCUACAUGAGCCA
RNAcentral lists this transfer RNA (72 nucleotides) under Jatropha curcas. It matches the Rfam family "tRNA". From Rfam's summary of the family: Transfer RNA (tRNA) molecules are approximately 80 nucleotides in length. Lineage: Eukaryota; Viridiplantae; Streptophyta; Magnoliopsida; Malpighiales; Euphorbiaceae. The record is from Rfam by way of RNAcentral.